AUGACUGGGGUGAAGUCGUAACAAGGUAGCGCUAGGGGAACCUGGCGCUGGAUCACCUCCUUAAACGAUGAU
This 72-nucleotide ribosomal RNA is filed under the name Vibrio parahaemolyticus. Its description in RNAcentral is "partial 16S ribosomal RNA". The stretch from base 1 to 63 matches the Rfam family "Bacterial small subunit ribosomal RNA", at positions 1471 to 1533 of the family's 1533-position model. Lineage: Bacteria; Pseudomonadati; Pseudomonadota; Gammaproteobacteria; Vibrionales; Vibrionaceae. The record is from RNAcentral.